GCGAACGCUGGCGGCAGGCCUAACACAUGCAAGUCGAACGAACCUUUCGGGGUUAGUGGCGGACGGGUGAGUAACACGUGGGAACGUGCCUUUAGGUUCGGAAUAACUCAGGGAAACUUGUGCUAAUACCGAAUGUGCCCUUCGGGGGAAAGAUUUAUCGCCUUUAGAGCGGCCCGCGUCUGAUUAGCUAGUUGGUUGAGGUAAUGGCUCACCAAGGCGACGAUCAGUAGCUGGUCUGAGAGGAUGAUCAGCCACAUUGGGACUGAGACACGGCCCAAACUCCUACGGGAGGCAGCAGUGGGGAAUCUUGCGCAAUGGGCGAAAGCCUGACGCAGCCAUGCCGCGUGAAUGAUGAAGGUCUUAGGAUUGUAAAAUUCUUUCACCGGGGACGAUAAUGACGGUACCCGGAGAAGAAGCCCCGGCUAACUUCGU
RNAcentral lists this ribosomal RNA (432 nucleotides) under uncultured bacterium. RNAcentral's name for it is "partial 16S ribosomal RNA". It matches the Rfam family "Bacterial small subunit ribosomal RNA", at positions 29 to 506 of the family's 1533-position model. The record is from RNAcentral.